Etheostoma spectabile (orangethroat darter) is the source of this 112-nucleotide long non-coding RNA. RefSeq lists it as uncharacterized. The transcript has 3 exons. The record is from RefSeq and is a predicted model, not a curated record. NCBI's taxonomy places the organism in Eukaryota, Metazoa, Chordata, Actinopteri, Perciformes, Percidae.
GGUUUCUGCAGGGUUUUCCCUGCCGUUAUAAGGCUAAUGUACAGCACCCAAGCCGUUUUUGGCACCACCUAAGCCGAAUGAAUGUAAAAAUCAAUGUGAGCAUCAAAACUCC